AUACGAAGGUGGCAAGCGUUACUCGGAAUUACUAGGCAUAAAGGGCAGGUAGGUGGUUUGAUAAGUCUGCUGUGUAAGCUCCCGGCUUAACUGGGAGAGGUCAGCAGAAACUAUUAGACUUGAGUGGUGGAGAGGGAAGCGGAAUUCCUGGUGUAGAGGUGAAAUUCGUAGAUAUCAGGAGGAACACCGGUGGCGAAGGCGGCUUCCUGGACACCUACUGACGCUGAGAUGCGAAAGCGUGGGGAGCAAACAGGAUUAGAAACCCCAGUAGUCC
This 274-nucleotide ribosomal RNA is filed under the name uncultured bacterium. RNAcentral's name for it is "partial 16S ribosomal RNA". It matches the Rfam family "Bacterial small subunit ribosomal RNA", at positions 523 to 796 of the family's 1533-position model. The record is from RNAcentral.